GGGGUUGUGGCUCAGCGGUAGAGCACUUGCCUCACACAUGCAAGACCCUGGGUUCGAUCCUCAGCACCACA
RNAcentral lists this transfer RNA (71 nucleotides) under Marmota monax (woodchuck). RNAcentral's name for it is "tRNA.Val". It matches the Rfam family "tRNA". Rfam says of the family: Transfer RNA (tRNA) molecules are approximately 80 nucleotides in length. Lineage: Eukaryota; Metazoa; Chordata; Mammalia; Rodentia; Sciuridae. The record is from RNAcentral.